GACGAACGCUGGCGGCGUGCCUAAUACAUGCAAGUAGAACGCACAGUUUAUACCGUAGCUUGCUACACCAUAGACUGUGAGUUGCGAACGGGUGAGUAACGCGUAGGUAACCUGCCUGGUAGCGGGGGAUAACUAUUGGAAACGAUAGCUAAUACCGCAUAAUAUUGAUUAUUGCAUGAUAAUUAAUUGAACGGUGCAAUUGCACCACUACCAGAUGGACCUGCGUUGUAUUAGCUAGUAGGUGAGGUAACGGCUCACCUAGGCGACGAUACAUAGCCGACCUGAGAGGGUGAUCGGCCACACUGGGACUGAGACACGGCCCAGACUCCUACGGGAGGCAGCAGUAGGGAAUCUUCGGCAAUGGACGAAAGUCUGACCGAGCAACGCCGCGUGAGGGAAGAAGGUUGUCGGAUCGUAAAGCUCGGUUGUAAGAGAAGAACGGGUGUGAGAGUGGAAAGUUCACACUGUGACGGUAUCUUACCAGAAAGGGACGGCUAACUACGUG
Molecule: ribosomal RNA, 505 nt
Filed under: uncultured bacterium
Lineage: Bacteria
Description: partial 16S ribosomal RNA
Rfam family: Bacterial small subunit ribosomal RNA
Source: RNAcentral